UACGUAGGGUGCGAGCGUUGUCCGGAAUUAUUGGGCGUAAAGAGCUCGUAGGCGGCUUGUUGCGUCGACUGUGAAAACCCGCGGCUUAACCGCGGGCUUGCAGUUGAUACGGGCAGACUAGAGUUCGGCAGGGGAGACUGGAAUUCCUGGUGUAGCGGUGAAAUGCGCAGAUAUCAGGAGGAACACCGAUGGCGAAGGCAGCUCGCUGGGACGGUACUGACGCUGAGGCGCGAAAGCGUGGGGAGCAAACAGG
Molecule: ribosomal RNA, 253 nt
Filed under: uncultured bacterium
Lineage: Bacteria
Description: partial 16S ribosomal RNA
Rfam family: Bacterial small subunit ribosomal RNA
Source: RNAcentral